GUGAACCUGCGGAGGGAUCAUUAGCGAGUUAAUUACAAACUCCAAAACCCCCUGUGAACUUACCUAUGUUGCCUUGGCAGGUCGUGGUGUGUAGCGUGAUCGCUAUAAGGGAUCACCGCCUCGCACCACGCUGAAAGACCUGUCAAAGGACCCCUAAACUCUGUCUUACAACUGUAUCUCUGAGUCUAUUAUAUAAACAAGUUAAAACUUUCAACAACGGAUCUCUUGGCUCUGGCAUCGAUGAAGAACGCAGCGAAAUGCGAUAAGUAAUGUGAAUUGCAGAAUUCAGUGAAUCAUCGAAUCUUUGAACGCACAUUGCGCCUGAUAGUAUUCUGUCAGGCAUGCCUGUUCGAGCGUCAUUUCAACCCCCAAGCCCUAAUCUGCUUGACGUUGGGAGUUUACGGAGACGUAAUUCCUCAAAUAUAGUGGCGGAGCUAGGUCGUGCUCUAAGCGUAGUAACCACACUCUCGCUUCUGCAGCCGGCCUAGGUCUUGCCGUAAAACCCCUAUAUUUAUUUUUUUACUGGUUGACCUCGGAUCAGGUAGGAAUACCCGCUGAACUUAAGCAUAUCAAUAAGCCGGAGGAA
RNAcentral lists this ribosomal RNA (586 nucleotides) under fungal endophyte. RNAcentral describes it as "eukaryotic LSU rRNA". The stretch from base 206 to 359 matches the Rfam family "5.8S ribosomal RNA". The record is from RNAcentral. Lineage: Eukaryota; Fungi.